UUACGUUCUGGAGUGCGUUUUCUAUCAAUUCUAUGAGAAUUUUAUUCCAUGUGGAAAUGUGUACAAUGUCACACUGUAUCCCCAGCACAAUAUCCAUAUGUUUCAAGCUGGUACCUUGAGAAUCAAGUGUGAGAAAUUUCAGGACCCAACGAAAAAAAUAUUUGAAAAUAGUGUGUUCUGCUGCCUCCGUAAGGAUUGCAUAAUGUCUCCCGUGAAUCGAAUGGCAAAUCUUGUUAUGCAGUGUGUGCGCCCCAUGGAGUGUAACAUAUUAGACAACAACAGAUUAAUGAAGCCUACAACCUGCACCAUGCACGACUGCACCUUCCACUGGAAAACAUUUAGUUAAUUCUCCUUCCAUCCUCUUCCUGCUCCGUAGGAAAUGAUAUUCCCAUGGCCUGAGAAGGUCACAAAGUAGAACCUGACAAUGACAUUUCCUACGUGUGGACCUAUACUAGCUUAGUUACCAUGAUGAGUAGUGUACUAGUUUAUUACUACAGAGAAAAGGAAAUCAUAUUUUGUAUUAAUUAUUUGUUUAAAAUGGACUCUAUGGGGAUGGCCUUCCCGUAUUUCAGAGCUCUUUGGAUAAUGGCUUUCCAGAUAAGGCAUCCCAUACCUGUACCUCAUUUAUCUUGGGUAACAUCAAUAGUGAUGAGUGAA
Molecule: long non-coding RNA, 657 nt
Organism: Xenopus tropicalis (tropical clawed frog)
Lineage: Eukaryota; Metazoa; Chordata; Amphibia; Anura; Pipidae
Exons: 3
Source: RefSeq, a predicted model, not a curated record